This is a long non-coding RNA of Lynx canadensis (Canada lynx), 2250 nucleotides long. RefSeq lists it as uncharacterized. NCBI's taxonomy places the organism in Eukaryota, Metazoa, Chordata, Mammalia, Carnivora, Felidae. The transcript is spliced from 2 exons. The record is from RefSeq and is a predicted model, not a curated record.
UCUCUCUCUCUCUGUCUCUCUGUCUCUCUGUCUCUUUCUCUGUCUCUCUCUCUUAAUAACCUGUCUCCUGUUGUCAUUUGGUUAUUUAUCGUGUCUGGCUGUUUCAUACUGCUCAAAAUGUCUGUCUUCAUUGCUUCUAAGAUAUAAAUUGAUGAUUCUCAUGAGUAUUUAUUUCAUACUUCAUUUGUUAAUCUCAAUUUCAUAUACAUAUUUCUUUUAUUAAUAUAAUUUUACUAACGUAAAAGCAAUUUUGAAUUGUUUGUAGUCAGCAUUAAAUAAUUGAAUUUAAUUGCUUUUUAGUUAGAAGUCUCAUUAAUUUUCAGAGAAGAACAUCUUACGAACAUAUAAAUAUUCUACACACUCAGACCUUUGUCCUUUCUGUAGAGAAUAAGAGAAAUAGAUGAUUAUUAAAAUUAUUAGAAUAAAACUUUUAAAUAGGACCAGUAACCCAUUAGAUUUAUGAAUCCUUAAAGCAGAUACAGACUAUAUUAAAAUUGUUUGGAAAAUAAAUGCUUGCUUUUAUAGCAAGAGACCUUUAAAGACAAUCAUGGAGUAAACGGCUUGUGAGCCUAACGCAUGUCAGUCUCUUCAAUCCUAACUCUUUGGAGGGAGAGAUAAAUCUUGGUUCUUUGAAACUAAGACCUACGCCAGAAGUUAGAUUUGCCAUCCAGAUUUAUUAACGAGUAGUAGCGUUUCUUUACUCUGUUCGGAAGACCAGUGAAAUGCCAGAGGACCGUGCAGAGUAAUUGCUUUUCAGGCUGUCCUUUUCCACGGCAUAUACAUUCAGGCACAUGAUAUGGAUCAGCCUUAAUUAAAUUGAUAAUUAACUUUUCGUCCAUACAUUAAGGAAGGUAAACUCUAAGUGUGAUAUUAACAAGGAAGGUCAAAUGAGAACUUACAUACACAUCUGUUUGAUAAGCAUAUUGUAUAUUUUUUCUGGAAAGAUGACUGCGAACCGGUGGAUACUAGUUAAAUAUCGUUAGAAGAUAAAAUGUAGUGUGUAGAAAAGUGCACGGGCAUGGAAAUAGUGCGGUUAGUUUUUUGUUUGGUUUGCUUUGAAGUAAGUGACCUGAAAAAAAGACCCCUACUGUAGUAAGUUUUGAGGUUGGAAAAUCCCUGCCUUUCAUGAACAAAGCAAGUUGGAAAGGAAAAGUGUAUCUAGAGACUGGUGUUAGUUUUGUUUUGGAAAAUUCUGUGCUUUAGAGCAAAUAAAUGAAGGUAAUCCUACUUGCCUGGGGAUAACUUUGAUUUUCUCCCAUUGUGUCUUUUUGCGCUUCCCAAAUAGUUUCUAGAAAAGAAAAAAAAAAAAGAACUUGCCAUCAAGUAAGUUUGUUAGAUUUUCCAUCGCACUUUAUUGUUGAUCUCUGUUUUUGAAAUUAUGUAGGGAUAACGAAGAGGCCCAUUUGGCAUUACCGCAGAUGCUGACCUAGGAUCACAGCCCUGCCCAUCGCUGGCGGUGUGCUGCUACUCGUGCACCCCCGUUUGUCCCGGAAGUCAGUGUACGCAUCCCGGCUUGUAUGGCUUCGGUCUGGGAAACAGCCUUCCGAAUAAUGUGACCGAGCCUGCCUUCAUUUAGCCAACAUCAUGCCCACAUUUUGGGGGGACCAGACUGCUGACAGGUCUUUGCUAAGUGUAGAGAAAAUCGUAUUUCAGAAUUGUUGGGUUUAGCGUGUUAAUAAAGGAAAGUUCUUUUGCCUCAAAAGAGAGGUUUCCUUAUCAUACACUCGUCUCAGGGCAUCGGUCGCCAAACCUGAGCCAUUCACACAUGUGCGUUCUGCUGUGCCCUCACCUCCUGUUCGUGUCUUACCCUCGUUUUUUCUUUAAGGUGAUUGUAAAGAGAUUCACUUAGAAAUUAAUCCUUCAUCUUCUUCAGUAAAACUGUGUUUGAAAUACUCAAUUUUAUUUCUCAUGUACAUGGAAACGUACACAUAAAUAUUUCAACCCAGGAAUGUAGUCCCACACGGACUGUAAUUGGAGAACAGUUUUAGAGCUUCAGCAGCCGGAUUACUCGUCGUCCUCUGUUGCUGAAGUCCUAGCAGAGUUGAGCUGCAGACCUGUCCGUGAAGAGGUUGGCAUGAACUCACGCUACAAACGUCUACAAACAUCUUAAGUAGUCCACGUUCCGUACUGAAAUCUCUGAUUGCUCAUUUCUGCUAGGUUUUGUCUUCACUCAGUCAGUAUUAUCUGUUUCACAGAUAACGUAGCCGCCCUGUUUCAUUAAUUCUGUAAGUUUUGUGUUUGUUCAAAGUG